GACCUGAGCUCAUGAGAUACCCCCGAACAUAGC
Molecule: ribosomal RNA, 33 nt
Filed under: Pediastrum duplex
Lineage: Eukaryota; Viridiplantae; Chlorophyta; Chlorophyceae; Sphaeropleales; Hydrodictyaceae
Description: partial 28S ribosomal RNA
Source: RNAcentral